CUUGCUACAAUGUGCCUCGACACCUUGCCCAUAUUCUCACUAACCAGGUGAUGAAAUGUGAAGAAGGAACUCAUCUUCAUGCUACCAACCAGGUGAUGAAAUGUACAAUUCGUACUCUCUUUCAUGCCACCAACCAGGUGAUGAAAUGUACAACCCGUACUCUAAUAUCAUUUGGCAACUUGCCACUCAUGUCACCAACCAGGUGAAUAAGGAACUCAUCUUCGUGCCACCAACCAUGUGAUGAAAUGUACAACCCGUACUUUAAUAUCAUUUGGCAACUUGCCACUUAUGCCACCAACCAGGUGAAGAAGGAACUCAUCUUCAUGCCACCAACCAAGUGAUGAAAUAUACAACCUGUACUCUAUUUCGUGCCAAUCAUUUGGCAACUUGCCACUUAUGCCACCAACCAGGUGAAGAAGGAGCUUAUCUUUAUGCCACCAACCAGGUGAUGAAAUGUACAACCCGUACUCUAAUAUCAUUUGGCAACUUGCCACUCAUGCCAUCAACCAAGUGAAGAAAGAACUCAUCUUCGUGCCACAAACCAGGUGAUAAAAUGUACAACUCGUACUCUCCUUCAUGCCACCAACCAGGUGAUGAAAUGUACAACCGGUACUCUAAUAUCAUUUGGCAACUUGCCACCCAUGCCACCAACCAGGUGAAGAAGGAACUCAUCUUCGUACCACCAACCAAGUGAUGAAAGCAACUCACCAUUUAUUCCACCUACUAGAAGACGAGUGGUACAACUUGUAUAUGUGAACUCCUAGCAUUCACAAAUAAUAAAAAACCAUCAAGCUUGACAACUCAACUAGGGGAUCACUUAUGCCCAACAAGAGUCAUAGUCACCAACAAAGUCUUAUUGCAAGCCAACAAUAACUUCAAUGUAUGGCAUACGAAAAUCAAGCUAUUCAGCCCUCUUGCAUCUGCUUCAGACAUUUCCCCUCUGUAACAAUGCAAACACUACAACUCGUAGAAAACUUCACACACUCUUGAUUAAGACAGUGUGAAGCAAAACCAAUUUAUGGUGCCAACAAGAGCUUCAUCAAAGGAGUUCAACCACAAUUCUCAAAAGCUUCACACAUUAUUGAUCAAGAUAGUGUGAAGCAAAACCAAUUUAUGGUGCCAACAAGACCUUCAUCAAUGGAGGGUAACCACAAUUCUCAAAAGCUUCACACACUCUUGAUCAAGACAGUGUGACGCAAAACCAAUUUAUGAUGCCAACAAGAGCUUCAUCAAAGGAGUUAAAUCACAAUUCUCAAAAGCUUCACACACUCUUGAUCAAGACAGUGUGAAGCAAAACCAAUUUAUGGUGCCAACAAGAGCUUCAUCAAUGGAGGGCAACCAUAAUUCUCAAAAUCUUCACACACCCUUGAUCAAGACAGUGUGAAGCAAAACCAAUUUAUGGUGCCAACAAAAGCUUCAUCAAAGGAGUUCAACCAAAAUUCUCCAAAGCUUCACACACUCUUGAUCAAGACAGUGUGAAGAAAAAUCAAUUUAUGGUGCCAACAAAAGCUUUAUCAAUAGAGGGGAACUACAAUUCUCAAACCUUCGAAGCAAAUUCAAGACUGUUCGAAGCCCCAGAAGACGAAGGCAAUAAAUGCCUUUGGAACAAACCCACAAACCUCUGAUG
This 1627-nucleotide long non-coding RNA is filed under the name Malus domestica (apple). RNAcentral describes it as "long non-coding RNA (MDOM_LNC006227)". The record is from RNAcentral. Lineage: Eukaryota; Viridiplantae; Streptophyta; Magnoliopsida; Rosales; Rosaceae.